GACGAACGCUGGCGGCGUGCUUAACACAUGCAAGUCGAACGGUGAAGCGCCUUCCUUUUUGGUGGGUGUGGAUGAGUGGCGAACGGGUGAGUAACACGUGAGUAACCUGCCCCCUUCUUCUGGAUAACCGCAUGAAAGUGUGGCUAAUACGGGAUAUUCUGGGUCUGUCGCAUGAUGGGUCUGGGAAAGAUAUUGUUUCGGUGGGGGAUGGGCUCGCGGCCUAUCAGCUUGUUGGUGGGGUGAUGGCCUACCAAGGCGGUGACGGGUAGCCGGCCUGAGAGGGUGGACGGUCACACUGGGACUGAGACACGGCCCAGACUCCGAGGGGAGGCAGCAGGGAGGAAUAUUGCACGAUGGGCGGAAGCCUGAUGCAGCGACGCCGCGUGAGGGAUGGAGGCCUUCGGGUUGUGAACCUCUUUCGCCAGUGAAGCAGGGCUGCCUCGUUUGUGGGUGGGUUGACGGUAGCUGGAUAAGAAGCGCCGGCUAACUACGUG
RNAcentral lists this ribosomal RNA (494 nucleotides) under uncultured bacterium. Its description in RNAcentral is "partial 16S ribosomal RNA". It matches the Rfam family "Bacterial small subunit ribosomal RNA", at positions 28 to 507 of the family's 1533-position model. The record is from RNAcentral.